AUACGGAGGGUGCGAGCGUUAAUCGGAAUUUCUGGGCGUAAAGCGUACGUAGGCGGUUUGCUAAGUCAGAUGUGAAAGCCCCGGGCUUAACCUGGGAACUGCAUUUGAUACUGGCAGACUAGAGUAUGAUAGAGGGGGGUAGAAUUCCUGGUGUAGCGGUGAAAUGCGUAGAUAUCAGGAGGAAUACCAGUGGCGAAGGCGGCCCCCUGGAUCAAUACUGACGCUGAGGUACGAAAGCGUGGGGAGCGAACAGGAUUAGAUACCCUAGUAGUCC
RNAcentral lists this ribosomal RNA (274 nucleotides) under uncultured bacterium. RNAcentral's name for it is "partial 16S ribosomal RNA". It matches the Rfam family "Bacterial small subunit ribosomal RNA", at positions 523 to 796 of the family's 1533-position model. The record is from RNAcentral.